CGGCGCGUACGUGGGACUGAUGUAGGGUCCUUCCCGGAUUCUGUGUCGCAGCUAACGCAUUAAGUUCCCCGCCUGGGGAGUACGGCCGCAAGGCUAAAACUCAAAGGAAUUGACGGGGGCCCGCACAAGCGGCGGAGCAUGCGGAUUAAUUCGAUGCAACGCGAAGAACCUUACCAAGGCUUGACAUAUACCGGAAACGGCUGGAAACAGUCGCCCCGCAAGGUCGGUAUACAGGUGGUGCAUGGUUGUCGUCAGCUCGUGUCGUGAGAUGUUGGGUUAAGUCCCGCAACGAGCGCAACCCUCGUUCUUUGUUGCCAGCACGUAAUGGUGGGAACUCAAAGGAGAUUGCCGGGGUCAACUCGGAGGAAGGUGGGGAUGACGUCAAAUCAUCAUGCCCCUUAUGUCUUGGGCUUCACGCAUGCUACAAUGGCCGGUACAAUGGGCUGCAAUACCGUAAGGUGGAGCGAAUCCCAAAAAGCCGGUCUCAGUUCGGAUUGAGGUCUGCAACUCGACCUCAUGAAGUCGGAGUCGCUAGUAAUCGCAGAUCAGCAACGCUGCGGUGAAUACGUUCCCGGGCCUUGUACACACCGCCCGUCAAGUCAUGAAAGUCGGUAACACCCGAAGCCAGUGGCCCAACCGCAAGGAGGGAGCUGUCGAAGGUGGGAUCGGUAAUUAGGACUAA
Molecule: ribosomal RNA, 682 nt
Filed under: uncultured Actinomycetes bacterium
Lineage: Bacteria; Bacillati; Actinomycetota; Actinomycetes
Description: bacterial SSU rRNA
Rfam family: Bacterial small subunit ribosomal RNA
Source: RNAcentral